GCUCAACCGAGGAAGUGCUUCGAAAACUGGUAAACUUGAGUGCAGAAGAGGGAAGUGGAACUCCAUGUGUAGCGGUGGAAUGCGUAGAUAUAUGGAAGAACACCAGUGGCGAAGGCGGCUUUCUGGUCUGUAACUGACGCUGAGAUUCGAAAGCAUGGGUAGCAAACAGGAUUAGAUACCCUGGUAGUCCAUGCCGUAAACGAUGAGUGCUAAGUGUUGGAGGGUUUCCGCCCUUCAGUGCUGCAGCUAACGCAUUAAGCACUCCGCCUGGGGAGUACGACCGCAAGGUUGAAACUCAAAGGAAUUGACGGGGGCCCGCACAAGCGGUGGAGCAUGUGGUUUAAUUCGAAGCAACGCGAAGAACCUUACCAGGUCUUGACAUACCAUGAAAAGCUUAGAGAUAAGUCUUUCCCUUCGGGGACAUGGAUACAGGUGGUGCAUGGUUGUCGUCAGCUCGUGUCGUGAGAUGUUGGGUUAAGUCCCGCAACGAGCGCAACCCUUAUUAUCAGUUGCCAGCAUUCAGUUGGGCACUCUGGUGAGACUGCCGGUGACAAACCGGAGGAAGGUGGGGACGACGUCAAAUCAUCAUGCCCCUUAUGACCUGUGCUACACACGUGCUACAAUGGUCGGUACAACG
This 637-nucleotide ribosomal RNA is filed under the name uncultured bacterium. Its description in RNAcentral is "bacterial SSU rRNA". It matches the Rfam family "Bacterial small subunit ribosomal RNA", at positions 607 to 1244 of the family's 1533-position model. The record is from RNAcentral.